RNAcentral lists this long non-coding RNA (275 nucleotides) under Musa acuminata (dwarf banana). Its description in RNAcentral is "long non-coding RNA (MACU_LNC007027)". The record is from RNAcentral. Lineage: Eukaryota; Viridiplantae; Streptophyta; Magnoliopsida; Zingiberales; Musaceae.
CCGACAGAGCAUCUCAGGCUCUAUGCACAUACCCUUUACCAUUUCUGGCAAAGGUCCAGAUAAUCCCACAAACACCAGAGUACAAAAGGCAGUAUGAACAAUAAAUAGCACAUAUCGGAAGCACACGCGGAACAACAAAACGUAUAUGUGCCUUUACGAGUCAGUGUGAUAUAGCAUAAAAGUUACACAAUAUGUUCAAGAAUGGAAAUAGUUUAUAGACAAGAGCAAAUGAGAAUUCAAGUAUUAAUAUAAGCCUCAAUUGAGUGAAGGGAACU